This 306-nucleotide ribosomal RNA is filed under the name Proboscia inermis. Its description in RNAcentral is "partial Bacterial small subunit ribosomal RNA". It matches the Rfam family "Bacterial small subunit ribosomal RNA", at positions 1085 to 1392 of the family's 1533-position model. The record is from RNAcentral. Lineage: Eukaryota; Bacillariophyta; Melosirophyceae; Probosciales; Probosciaceae.
UCCCGCAACGAGCGCAACCCUUGUCCUUAUUUGCCAGCAUUAAGUUGGGUACUCUAAGGAGACUGCCGGUGACAAACCGGAGGAAGGUGGGGACGACGUCAAGUCAUCAUGGCCCUUACGAGUAGGGCUACACACGUGCUACAAUGGCGAGUACAAAGGGAUGCAAACUGGUGACAGUAAGCGGACCCCUUAAAGCUCGUCGUAGUCCGGAUUGGAGUCUGCAACUCGACUCCAUGAAGUCGGAAUCGCUAGUAAUCGUAGGUCAGCAUACUACGGUGAAUACGUUCCCGGGCCUUGUACACACCG